Molecule: ribosomal RNA, 468 nt
Filed under: uncultured bacterium
Lineage: Bacteria
Description: partial 16S ribosomal RNA
Rfam family: Bacterial small subunit ribosomal RNA
Source: RNAcentral
GAUGAACGCUGGCGGCGUGCUUAACACAUGCAAGUCGAACGGUGAAGGCGGAGCUUGCUCUGCUGGAUCAGUGGCGAACGGGUGAGUAACACGUGAGCAAUCUGCCCCUGACUCUGGGAUAAGCGCUGGAAACGGCGUCUAAUACUGGAUACGAGCUGCGAAGGCAUCUUCAGCAGCUGGAAAGAACUUCGGUCAGGGAUGAGCUCGCGGCCUAUCAGCUUGGUGGUGAGGUAACGGCUCACCAAGGCGUCGACGGGUAGCCGGCCUGAGAGGGUGACCGGCCACACUGGGACUGAGACACGGCCCAGACUCCUACGGGAGGCAGCAGUGGGGAAUAUUGCACAAUGGGCGAAAGCCUGAUGCAGCAACGCCGCGUGAGGGACGACGGCCUUCGGGUUGUAAACCUCUUUUAGCAGGGAAGAAGCGAAAGUGACGGUACCUGCAGAAAAAGCGCCGGCUAACUACGUG